CCUACGGGCGGCUGCAGUGGGGAAUAUUGCACAAUGGGCGCAAGCCUGAUGCAGCCAUGCCGCGUGUGUGAAGAAGGCCUUCGGGUUGUAAAGCACUUUCAGCGGGGAGGAAGGCGUUAAGGUUAAUAACCUUGGCGAUUGACGUUACCCGCAGAAGAAGCACCGGCUAACUCCGGCCAGCAGCCGCGGUAAUACGGAGGGUGCAAGCGUUAAUCGGAAUUACUGGGCGUAAAGCGCACGCAGGCGGUCUGUCGAGUCGGAUGUGAAAUCCCCGGGCUCAACCUGGGAACUGCAUUCGAAACGGGCAGGCUAGAGUCUUGUAGAGGGGGGUAGAAUUCCAGGUGUAGCGGUGAAAUGCGUAGAGAUCCGGAGGAAUACCGGUGGCGAAGGCGGCCCCCUGGACAAAGACUGACGCUCAGGUGCGAAAGCGUGGGGAGCAAACAGGAUUAGAUACCCUUGUAGUC
This 464-nucleotide ribosomal RNA is filed under the name uncultured Klebsiella sp. Its description in RNAcentral is "bacterial SSU rRNA". It matches the Rfam family "Bacterial small subunit ribosomal RNA", at positions 338 to 795 of the family's 1533-position model. Lineage: Bacteria; Pseudomonadati; Pseudomonadota; Gammaproteobacteria; Enterobacterales; Enterobacteriaceae. The record is from RNAcentral.